Molecule: ribosomal RNA, 1054 nt
Filed under: uncultured bacterium
Lineage: Bacteria
Description: bacterial SSU rRNA
Rfam family: Bacterial small subunit ribosomal RNA
Source: RNAcentral
GUGGGGAAAUUGCGGCUUUCUUUACACAUGCAAGUCGAACGAACCUUCGGGUUAGUGGCGGACGGGUGAGUAACGCGUGGGAAUCUGCCCUCAGGAGGGGGAUAACGGCUGGAAACGGCCGCUAAUACCCCAUAUGCCGAGAGGUGAAAUGAAUUUCGCCUGAGGAUGAGCCCGCGUCUGAUUAGCUAGUUGGUGAGGUAAGAGCUCACCAAGGCAUCGAUCAGUAGCUGGUCUGAGAGGAUGAUCAGCCACACUGGGACUGAGACACGGCCCAGACUCCUACGGGAGGCAGCAGUGGGGAAUUUUCCGCAAUGGGCGAAAGCCUGACGGAGCAACGCCGCGUGAGGGAUGAAGGCCUCUGGGCUGUAAACCUCUUUUCUCAAGGAAGAAGAUCUGACGGUACUUGAGGAAUAAGCCACGGCUAAUUCCGUGCCAGCAGCCGCGGUAAUACGGGAGUGGCAAGCGUUAUCCGGAAUUAUUGGGCGUAAAGCGUCCGCAGGCGGCCCUUCAAGUCUGCUGUUAAAACGUGGAGCUUAACUCCAUCAUGGCAGUGGAAACUGUUGGGCUUGAGUGUGGUAGGGGCAGAGGGAAUUCCCGGUGUAGCGGUGAAAUGCGUAGAUAUCGGGAAGAACACCAGUGGCGAAGGCGCUCUGCUGGGCCAUAACUGACGCUCAUGGACGAAAGCCAGGGGAGCGAAAGGGAUUAGAUACCCCUGUAGUCCUGGCCGUAAACGAUGGGUGCUAGACGUCGCGGGUAUUGACCCCUGCGGUGUCGAAGCUAACGCAUUAAGUGUUCCGCCUGGGGAGUACGCACGCAAGUGUGAAACUCAAAGGAAUUUGACGGGGGCCCGCACAAGCGGUGGAGUAUGUGGUUUAAUUCGAUGCAACGCGAAGAACCUUACCAGGGUUUGACAUCCUGCGAAUCUCCUGGAAACGGGAGAGUGCCUUAGGGAGCGCAGUGACAGGUGGUGCAUGGCUGUCGUCAGCUCGUGUCGUGAGAAUGUUGGGUUUAAGUCCCGCAAACGAGCCGCAACCCACGUCUUUAGUUGCCAGCA